GUCCUUUUGAAAUUUAUUUAAGGUUUAACCUGCCCACUGAAUUAUUAAAGGGCCGCAGUAUUUUGACUGUGCAAAGGUAGCAUAAUCAUUAGUUUUUUAAUUUAAAGCUUGUAUGAAGGGUUGGACGAGGUAAAUUCUGUCUCUAAAUGAUUUAUUUUAGAAUUUAAUUUUUAAGUUAAAAAGCUUAAAUAUAUUUAAAAGACGAGAAGACCCUAUAGAUCUUUAUAUUAAAUUUAUAUAUUAUAAAUAGGAUUUUUAGAUUAAUAAUUAGAUUUAGUAUUUUAUUGGGGUAAUAAAAAGAUUGAGUUAAUUCUUUUUUAAUUUUAACAUUGAUAAAUGAUUUUAUGAUCCAAUAUUAUUGAUUAAAAGAUUAAGUUACCUUAGGGAUAACAGCGUAAUUUUUUUAGAGAGUUCAUAUCGAUAAAAAAGCUUGCGACCUCGAUGUUGGAUUAAAAAUUAUUUUAGGUGUAGAAGCUUAAAAUUUUGGUCUGUUCGACCAUUAAAUUUUUACAUGAUCUGAGUUCAGACCGGUGUAAGCCAGGUCGGUUUCUAUCUUUAGAAAAAUUUAAAAUUUCAGUACGAAAGGACCAAAUUUUGUAUAUAUUAAUAUUUAAAGAUUUUGAUUAU
Molecule: ribosomal RNA, 627 nt
Filed under: Ilybius quadrimaculatus
Lineage: Eukaryota; Metazoa; Arthropoda; Insecta; Coleoptera; Dytiscidae
Description: partial 16S ribosomal RNA
Rfam family: Bacterial large subunit ribosomal RNA
Source: RNAcentral